UCUUCAUUCCCUACACUCUCUCACCGGUCAGAGAGUCGAGAGAGUGUGUGAAAUGAAGAGA
Pristionchus pacificus is the source of this 61-nucleotide non-coding RNA. The record is from Rfam. NCBI's taxonomy places the organism in Eukaryota, Metazoa, Nematoda, Chromadorea, Rhabditida, Neodiplogasteridae.